RNAcentral lists this ribosomal RNA (380 nucleotides) under Priestia megaterium. RNAcentral describes it as "bacterial SSU rRNA". It matches the Rfam family "Bacterial small subunit ribosomal RNA", at positions 327 to 699 of the family's 1533-position model. The record is from RNAcentral. Lineage: Bacteria; Bacillati; Bacillota; Bacilli; Caryophanales; Bacillaceae.
CGGCCCAGACUCCUACGGGAGGCAGCAGUAGGGAAUCUUCCGCAAUGGACGAAAGUCUGACGGAGCAACGCCGCGUGAGUGAUGAAGGCUUUCGGGUCGUAAAACUCUGUUGUUAGGGAAGAACAAGUACGAGAGUAACUGCUCGUACCUUGACGGUACCUAACCAGAAAGCCACGGCUAACUACGUGCCAGCAGCCGCGGUAAUACGUAGGUGGCAAGCGUUAUCCGGAAUUAUUGGGCGUAAAGCGCGCGCAGGCGGUUUCUUAAGUCUGAUGUGAAAGCCCACGGCUCAACCGUGGAGGGUCAUUGGAAACUGGGGAACUUGAGUGCAGAAGAGAAAAGCGGAAUUCCACGUGUAGCGGUGAAAUGCGUAGAGAUGU